Molecule: ribosomal RNA, 520 nt
Filed under: uncultured Glomus
Lineage: Eukaryota; Fungi; Glomeromycota; Glomeromycetes; Glomerales; Glomeraceae
Description: SSU rRNA
Rfam family: Eukaryotic small subunit ribosomal RNA
Source: RNAcentral
AGCAGCCGCGGUAAUUCCAGCUCCAAUAGCGUAUAUUAAAGUUGUUGCAGUUAAAAGCUCGUAGUUGAAUUUCGGGAUCGGCAGGUUGGUCGUGCCUACGGUAUGAACUGGCCUUGCUGAUUCCUCCCUCUUGAUGAGCCGUAAUGCCAUUAAUUUGGUGUUGCGGGGAAUCAGGACUGUUACUUUGAAAAAUUAGAGUGUUAAAGCAGGCAAGCGCUUGAAUACAUUAGCAUGGAAUAAUGAAAUAGGACGUUUGAUCCUAUUUUGUUGGUUUCUAGGAUUGACGUAAUGAUUAAUAGGGAUAGUUGGGGGGUCAUUAGUAUUUCAAUUGGUCAGAGGUGAAAAUUCUUGGAUUUAUUGAGGACUAACUACUGCGAAAGCAUUUGCCAGGAUGUUUUCAUUAAUCAAGAACGAAAGUUAGGGGAUCGAAGACGAUCAGAUACCGUCGUAGUCUUAACCAUAAACUAUGCCGACUAGGAAUCGGACGAUGUUAAUUUUUGCUUGACUCGUUCGGCGCCUU